This 253-nucleotide ribosomal RNA is filed under the name uncultured bacterium. Its description in RNAcentral is "partial 16S ribosomal RNA". It matches the Rfam family "Bacterial small subunit ribosomal RNA", at positions 524 to 776 of the family's 1533-position model. The record is from RNAcentral.
UACAGAGGGUGCGAGCGUUGUCCGGAAUCACUGGGCGUAAAGGGCGCGUAGGUGGCGACCCAAGUCCAUGGUGAAAGCUCGAUGCUCAACAUCGAGUCGGCCACGGAUACUGGGUUGCUGGAGCACUGUAGAGGCAGAUGGAAUUCCGGGUGUAGCGGUGGAAUGCGUAGAGAUCCGGAAGAACACCGGUGGCGAAGGCGGUCUGCUGGGCAGCCACUGACGCUGAGACGCGAAAGCGUGGGGAGCAAACAGG